This 494-nucleotide ribosomal RNA is filed under the name uncultured bacterium. Its description in RNAcentral is "partial 16S ribosomal RNA". It matches the Rfam family "Bacterial small subunit ribosomal RNA", at positions 28 to 507 of the family's 1533-position model. The record is from RNAcentral.
GACGAACGCUGGCGGCGUGCUUAACACAUGCAAGUCGAACGGUGAAGCGCCUUCCUUUUUGGUGGGUGUGGAUGAGUGGCGAACGGGUGAGUAACACGUGAGUAACCUGCCCCCUUCUUCUGGAUAACCGCAUGAAAGUGUUGCUAAUACGGGAUAUUCUGGGUCUGUCGCAUGAUGGGUCUGGGAAAGAUAUUGUUUCGGUGGGGGAUGGGCUCGCGGCCUAUCAGCUUGUUGGUGGGGUGAUGGCCUACCAAGGCGGUGACGGGUAGCCGGCCUGAGAGGGUGGACGGUCACACUGGGACUGAGACACGGCCCAGACGCCUACGGGAGGCAGCAGUGGGGAAUAUUGCACAAUGGGCGCAAGCCUGAUGCAGCGACGCCGCGUGAGGGAUGGAGGCCUUCGGGUUGUGAACCUCUUUCGCCAGUGAAGCAGGCCUGCCUCGUUUGUGGGUGGGUUGACGGUAGCUGGAGAAGAAGCGCCGGCUAACUACGUG